GGCCCCGACCCACGCAAUACCUAUUCCCUUUCCCCUUCUCCUUCCCCGUCACACCGCCGUCAGGUCUCCCGCUCCGGCGACGGCGCCCCUUCCGCCUCCGCCUCCGCCUCCUCCUCGCCGACCACGCCCCUCCUCCAAUCUCCCACGCAUCCAAACCACUCUCUCCCCUCUCCCACCCGCACCUCCUGCGCCUGCGAGGAGCGAUUCGUCGAGGAACCGCUGAGCAAGGCCAUCGACGCGUGCUGGAUCCGGUGUCUCUAUUUCUCUCUCGUGCUCGAUCCCGAUCCACCCCCUUCUCUCGGCGCGGCGCAUGCGGGAAAGCUCGCUGCUGCGGUGGGCCUUGACGGCGGCGAGCAGGGAGCCGGCGAGGUAGACCACAAGGGCCGUCAUGGGCUCCACCUGCGCCCUCUUGCCGGCGGACUGCUGGUCGCCUCGGCCUCCCGCGGCAUCUCCGACUGGCACAAGCUGCAGGUCCUGGGUGAGCCCGGAGAAGAAGCUGAUUGCCGAGUGCCAGGCGGCUGACCCGGGGGUGCUCAUCAACGCCUACAGCUUCUACGGGCUCCCAAGAGUGCAUCCACAUCACGGAGCAGAAGCUGGUUGCCGAGUGCUAGGCGGCUGACCAGGCGAGGUAGUCCCGCUUCCCACCCCGGUCUGCAUGCUCGGUGAUGCCAAGCAUGUGAGGGAAGUAUCUACCAUUUACUGGUGCUGCUAAGCAAUUCUCCUUCUCUCUAUAACAUAUUUGAUGGUCAUGAUGUACAAACAAGUAAUGUAUGGUUCUUACUGCAAUAGGGAUUGUCGAUUGGUGCGAAACUAGUGAAUUUCAAAUUGUAUAACUACCAAGAGGUAGUCACGCUAGAUGAGGAUGACACUGGAAUCCGGUGGUCGAAUUUCUUGUUAUCAGGCAGUGUUCAAUUUCUAUCUCUGCCUACCUGCAUGCUAUGACAGUUGCCCUGUAUUGCUGCCAUUUGAAGAUUUUUAUGCUUACCAUGCUGCAUCAUAACCUUCAUGCCUGGCUAGUGGCUACUAUGGCUUGACGGACUACCUCCUCAGCCACUACCUCAGCUUCCCACACAACAUGAUGACAGUGGUUUUGCUACAACCGUGGUGGUGGUGGCGGCCCCUAACUUGGUUCUGCCUUAAUGUGCUAAGAACAUGAAGCGUAUGGAGAUUAUCUCUUGCUCUCUGAGAUGGUGCUGGCCGUCGAGCUAGGUUGCUGUGAUGCACAACCACGUCGGUUAUUUCCAAACGGAGGGAGUAGUAACUAAUGUUGUUGCAGUUGAAUAAUCGUUGGUGCUAUCAUCAAUCAAUGUGGUGCAUAUGUAGCCGGGCUUUAGGGAGGAGGGUCUAGAGCCUAGAGCCUCCGUGAAGUUUGAUCUUGCGGAGGAGGGCGAGAAGGUGAAUGGAGCUUGUAGUGCCGCUUGGUCGAAAUUGGGUUGCUGCUGAUGCGAUUGAUUUCUGGUGGUGUGGACGGGUGCCUUGUGCCACUUUGUUUGUUUAUACGAUCUUUGCUUUGCAGGACAACACCCACCCAUAUAACUUGUGUGGACUUUGACGAUGAUCCGGCUGUGGCAGUACCAGUUUGUGCUGUAGGGGCGUUGCCAAUACUUUUUGUUGCUGUUGGGUGUAGGUCGAAUGUAAAUUGUUGAGUUUGUCAGCAGGGUGUCGGAAAUUUUGGAUUGUAAACUGAAUAAGUCAAUGUAAACAAGUAGGGACAGAUUGGCUGGUUGAACCCUUGUUUCCCCAUGAAUGAAUGAAUGUAUUUUUGGUUAUUCCCCA
Triticum dicoccoides is the source of this 1776-nucleotide long non-coding RNA. RefSeq lists it as uncharacterized. The transcript has 7 exons. NCBI's taxonomy places the organism in Eukaryota, Viridiplantae, Streptophyta, Magnoliopsida, Poales, Poaceae. The record is from RefSeq and is a predicted model, not a curated record.